UAAGAAUUUUGAUAUAAGAUAUGAAUCGUCAACGAAAUGAUGGUAAUGAUAGAAGAAGAGAUGCACGUGCCCAGAGGCAGAGGGGUGCGAGGGAUGCCCAGGUUAGAGCAAGAAGACCAGCUCAACCAGAUCCCAACAUAGCCUUGAUAGCAUCACUAAGACAGCAAGUGGCAGAUCUGGACGAUGCGCUGACUCGCUUGCAGCUCCACAAC
Molecule: non-coding RNA, 212 nt
Organism: Parasteatoda tepidariorum (common house spider)
Lineage: Eukaryota; Metazoa; Arthropoda; Arachnida; Araneae; Theridiidae
Source: RefSeq, a predicted model, not a curated record